CUACGGGGCGCAGCAGUGAGGAAUAUUGCACAAUGGGGGAAACCCUGAUGCAGCAACGCCGCGUGGAGGAUGACGCAUUUCGGUGUGUAAACUCCUUUUAUAUGUCAAGAAAAUGACGGUAGCAUAUGAAUAAGCACCGGCUAACUCCGUGCCAGCAGCCGCGGUAAUACGGAGGGUGCAAGCGUUAUUCGGAAUCACUGGGCGUAAAGGACGCGUAGGCGGGUUAUCAAGUCAGGUGUGAAAUCCUACAGCUUAACUGUAGAACUGCACUUGAAACUGGUAGCCUAGAGUAUGGGAGGGGCAGAUGGAAUUAGUGGUGUAGGGGUAAAAUCCGUAGAUAUCACUAGGAAUACCGAAAGCGAAGGCGAUCUGCUGGAACAUUACUGACGCUAAGGCGUGAAAGCGUGGGGAGCAAACAGGAUUAGAUACCCCCGUAGUC
Molecule: ribosomal RNA, 439 nt
Filed under: uncultured bacterium
Lineage: Bacteria
Description: partial 16S ribosomal RNA
Rfam family: Bacterial small subunit ribosomal RNA
Source: RNAcentral